This 61-nucleotide transfer RNA is filed under the name Hyalomma marginatum. Its description in RNAcentral is "tRNA-His". The record is from RNAcentral. RNAcentral also lists the same sequence under 6 other names. Lineage: Eukaryota; Metazoa; Arthropoda; Arachnida; Ixodida; Ixodidae.
GUUUAAUUAGUUUAAUUAUAAAAUUAUAAAUUGUGGAUUUAUAGAUGAAAUUCAUUAAACA